RNAcentral lists this ribosomal RNA (332 nucleotides) under Paenibacillus taichungensis. RNAcentral's name for it is "partial 23S ribosomal RNA". It matches the Rfam family "Bacterial large subunit ribosomal RNA", at positions 1 to 329 of the family's 2925-position model. The record is from RNAcentral. Lineage: Bacteria; Bacillati; Bacillota; Bacilli; Caryophanales; Paenibacillaceae.
UUGGUUAAGCUACUAAGAGCACACGGAGGAUGCCUAGGCGCUAGGAGCCGAUGAAGGACGUGGCGAACAACGAAACUGCCUCGGGGAGCUGUAAGCAAGCUUUGAUCCGGGGGUGUCCGAAUGGGGAAACCCAGCUGGGGUAAUUUCCAGUUACUCAUAACUGAAUACAUAGGUUAUGUAGAGGCAUACCAGGGGAACUGAAACAUCUAAGUACCUUGAGGAAGAGAAAACAAUAGUGAUUCCGUCAGUAGCGGCGAGCGAACGCGGAGAAGCCCAAACCAGAGAGCUUGCUCUUUGGGGUUGUGGGACAUCUCACAUGGAGUUACAAAGGA